GCGGAUGGCUGGAUGAUCGCGGGCCGAAUGGUUCGAGGAAAGUCCGGACUCCAUGAAGGAAGGGUGCCGGGUAACGCCCGGCGGGGGCAACCCCAGGGAAAGCGCCACAGAGAAGAGUCUGCCAUGGUGUCAGCGGUUUACCAAUGACGUGUCCAUGGCGAUGGUGAAACGGUGGGGUAAGAGCCCACCGCGGACUUGGCAACAAGGACGGCACGGCAAGCCCCACCCGGAGCAAUGCCGAAUAGGGGCCUCACGUCGUAAGGUCCGCGCCCGCCGCAAGGCAACAGCGGAGACCACGGCAGGGACACUUCAGCCCGGAGGCCCGGGUUGGCAGCUUG
RNAcentral lists this RNase P RNA (338 nucleotides) under Paracoccaceae bacterium. RNAcentral's name for it is "Rhodobacteraceae bacterium (biofilm metagenome) partial RNase P RNA component class A". It matches the Rfam family "Bacterial RNase P class A", at positions 1 to 282 of the family's 367-position model. Rfam says of the family: Ribonuclease P (RNase P) is a ubiquitous endoribonuclease, found in archaea, bacteria and eukarya as well as chloroplasts and mitochondria. Its best characterised activity is the generation of mature 5'-ends of tRNAs by cleaving the 5'-leader elements of precursor-tRNAs. The record is from RNAcentral. Lineage: Bacteria; Pseudomonadati; Pseudomonadota; Alphaproteobacteria; Rhodobacterales; Paracoccaceae.